Molecule: long non-coding RNA, 780 nt
Filed under: Zea mays
Lineage: Eukaryota; Viridiplantae; Streptophyta; Magnoliopsida; Poales; Poaceae
Description: long non-coding RNA (ZMAY_LNC004970)
Source: RNAcentral
UACCGAAAGAUAUUCUUAAAGGGCACUACUUGACCUUCCAAACUAAUAUCUCCUUCCUCAUAUGUAGUAGUGCUGGAGUUAUAUCUCAUAGAUUUGGUUUUAGUUGUACUGAGUUUAAAACCUUUAGGCUCUAGAAUCUCCCGCCACAACUCUAGUUUCCUAUUUACUUUUGCCAGGAUUUUAUCAACUAACAUUACAUCGUCUAAAAAAACAUACACCAAGAGAUAUCUCGUUAUAUGUCCCUUAUGACCUCAUCUAUCGCCAAGGAAAAAAAUAAGGGCUUAAAUCUGAUCCUUAAUAUAGUACUAUUAUAAUUGGAAAGUUUUCUGUGUAUCUGUCACUUGUUCGAAUACUAGUCAUACAUUAUUGUUGAACAUGUCUUUAGUAAGUCUGAUGUACUUUGUUGAAAUUUUAAGUUUGUCUAAAAUCCAACCCAUAAUAUUUUUUAGUAUUUUAUCAUAAAUCUUCUCAAGCAUGUAUUGCACAGUACACGAAUAUGAUCUCCAAGUAGGACAAUCCAAUCUAGCCUGAUCAUGCACGUUCAAUGCCCAUGAAUGGAACAAAGCGCAGGGAUGAGAAGUGUAAUACAUGCUGAAACUAUGAAAAUAAUAAAGAAUACUGGAUCCAUGCCCAGGUUCAAAACAAACUAUGAGAUACAAAACAUAGUAAAGACAAAAUUAUAGCGAUGAAAAGUGUUAAGGUGUGAAAUACACUUAAUGUAGCCAUUCGCCUACCUUCCCUUCACGCAAAGCACCUAUAGCCUGGUCGAUCGAGGAGAAC